AUGGCAAAUUAGCUUUUUCAUGUGCAACUGGAUUGAUUUGCUAGUAUUUUGUUGAGGAUUUUUGCAUCUAUGUUCAUCAGGGAUAUUGGCCUGAAGUUUUCUUUUUUCAUUGUGUUUCUGCCAGGUUUUGGUAUUAGAGUGAUACUGGCCUCAUAGAAUGAGUUAUGGAGGAGUCCCUCCUCCUCAAUUUUUUGGGGAAUAAUUUCAGUAUGAUUGGUACCAGCUCAUCUUUAUAGGUAGAAUUUGGCUGUGAAUCUCUCUGGCUGAGGGCCUUUUCAGGUAAAAGGCCAAACCUGAAAGUCCACAUCAAUACCACAAGUGACUCCAUCCUCUUGAAGUUCCUGCGUCCAAGUCCAAAUGUAAAGCUUGAAGGUCUUCUCCUGGGAUAUGGCAGCAAUGUAUCACCAAACCAGUACUUCCCUCUUCCCGCUGAAGGGAAAUUCACAGAGGCUAUAGUUGAUGCAGAGCCGAAAUAUCUGAUAGUUGUGCGACCUGCUCCACCUCCAAGUCAAAAGAAGUCAUGUUCAGGUAAAACUCGUUCUCGCAAACCUCUCCAGCUGGUGGUUGGCACUCUGACACCAAGCUC
Molecule: small RNA, 586 nt
Filed under: Pongo abelii (Sumatran orangutan)
Lineage: Eukaryota; Metazoa; Chordata; Mammalia; Primates; Hominidae
Description: processed transcript
Source: RNAcentral